Molecule: unclassified non-coding RNA, 148 nt
Organism: Callithrix jacchus (white-tufted-ear marmoset)
Lineage: Eukaryota; Metazoa; Chordata; Mammalia; Primates; Cebidae
Rfam family: Metazoan signal recognition particle RNA
About the family: The signal recognition particle (SRP) is a universally conserved ribonucleoprotein. It is involved in the co-translational targeting of proteins to membranes.
Source: Ensembl
GCCGGGCAUGUUGGCAGGCGCCUGUAAUCCCAGCUACCCAGGAGGCUGAGGCAGGAGAAUUGCUUGAACCCAGGAGGUGGAGGUUGCAGUGAGCUGAGAUCGUGCCACUGUACUCUAGCCUGGGUGACAGAGCAAGACUCUGUCUCCA